GACGAACCGAGCGAACGUUGUUCGGAAUCACUGGGCUUAAAGGGCGCGUAGGCGGGCUGCCAAGUCUGGGGUGAAAUCCCGCGGCUUAACCGCGGAACUGCCUCAGAUACUGGCGGCCUCGAGGGAGAUAGGGGCGAGCGGAACUAAUGGUGGAGCGGUGAAAUGCGUUGAUAUCAUUAGGAACUCCGGUGGCGAAGGCGGCUCGCUGGAUCUUUUCUGACGCUGAGGCGCGAAAGCUAGGGGAGCAAACGGG
Molecule: ribosomal RNA, 253 nt
Filed under: uncultured bacterium
Lineage: Bacteria
Description: partial 16S ribosomal RNA
Rfam family: Bacterial small subunit ribosomal RNA
Source: RNAcentral